UACGUAGGGUGCGAGCGUUGUCCGGAAUUAUUGGGCGUAAAGAGCUCGUAGGCGGUUUGUUGCGUCUAUCGUGAAAACCUGCAGCUUAACUGUGGGCUUGCGGUGGAUACGGGCAGACUUGAGUUCGGUAGGGGAGACUGGAAUUCCUGGUGUAGCGGUGAAAUGCGCAGAUAUCAGGAGGAACACCGGUGGCGAAGGCGGGUCUCUGGACAGUUCCUGACGCUGAGGCACGAAGGCCUGGGGAGCAAACGGG
RNAcentral lists this ribosomal RNA (253 nucleotides) under uncultured bacterium. RNAcentral describes it as "partial 16S ribosomal RNA". It matches the Rfam family "Bacterial small subunit ribosomal RNA", at positions 524 to 776 of the family's 1533-position model. The record is from RNAcentral.